This 513-nucleotide ribosomal RNA is filed under the name Anotogaster klossi. RNAcentral's name for it is "partial 16S rRNA". It matches the Rfam family "Bacterial large subunit ribosomal RNA", at positions 1819 to 2597 of the family's 2925-position model. The record is from RNAcentral. Lineage: Eukaryota; Metazoa; Arthropoda; Insecta; Odonata; Cordulegastridae.
GUCUUCUUGAUAAAAUAGGAAGUCUGACCUGCCCAGUGAAAAAUAUUUUAACGGCCGCGGUAUAUUGACCGUGCAAAGGUAGCAUAAUCAUUAGUCUUUUAAUAGAGGGCUGGAAUGAAGGGUUUAACGAAGUACUUACUGUCUCAUUUAAUUUGAUAUUAAAAUUUACUUUUUCAGUCAAAAAGCUGAAAUACUAUUGGAAGACGAGAAGACCCUAUAGAGCUUUAUAUUUAGUUAUUUAAUAAAUUUUUGAUAUAAUUAUUAUUUAUUAUUUAAUAAAAUAUUUUGUUGGGGUGACAAAAAUAUAUAAUUAACUUUUUUAUUUAUAUAACAUUGAUAUAUGAAAAAUAGAUCCAGUUUUACUGAUUGUUAGAAUAAGUUACCUUAGGGAUAACAGCGUAAUCUUCCUUCAGAGUUCAUAUUCACAGGGAGGCUUGCGACCUCGAUGUUGGAUUAAGAUUAUAAUUAGGUGUAGCCGCUUAAAAAAUAGGUCUGUUCGACCUUUAAAUUCUU